Salmo salar (Atlantic salmon) is the source of this 544-nucleotide long non-coding RNA. RefSeq lists it as uncharacterized. The record is from RefSeq and is a predicted model, not a curated record. Lineage: Eukaryota; Metazoa; Chordata; Actinopteri; Salmoniformes; Salmonidae.
CAGGCUAUUUAAAUCACCCAUAUUGAAAAAAUGUAGAACAAUUAGACACCCUGUAACCCACACCUACACACUCAUAAGCAGGCUCAGGUGUAUAAAAAAAAGGUAAGAGGGCCAACCAUGGAGAAUAAUAAGACACGUCAUUAUUUCUAUUACCACGCUAUUUUGUUUGUCCUCAUGUGUUCAUUCAUGUUUUUCAGCAUAAAGUACUCUGCAGCUACUUAGUGGACACCAGGUUAUAUCAGCUGUGUUGGUGAACCCCUCCCUCAUCUGAACUGGCUACAUAGAGGGCACAGCAUGAUCAGAGAUGUGUUUUGUUGUGAGAGAGGAUGCCAACCCCCAGUCCCAUCAUCGCAACCUCACCCGCUUUUAAGAUAACCUUCAGGCUGACUAGAGACACUUAUGUAAUUGUGAUGAACUGAGAGAAUAUUUGUGUAGCACUGAUUCAUUAUUCAUAUCCCUGCUCCUAUGUUCUUACCUCUUUCCCUUUCUGUCUUUUACACCUCUCUCGCCACCUCCUCUUUCUUCCUCUGUUUUUAUAAUUCAC